ACCAGAGAAAAAUAAAUUUGAUCAAGCUGAAGUGAUGGAGAAGACUUCUGCGCAUUCAUUUGACACCAAAAAUGAGAAACAAGCAAGUACUGGAGCAUAUUAAACCAGCAAAAUGGAUACAAGUAAUGAAAUCAUCCUUUCUUUGGAGAUCUUAAAUCAGAGCUACAGGAAAAAGGGAACUGAAUCAGACAGAUGGAGAGCUAGAGAAAAGUGAAGAUCUUUACUUACACCAGCAAAACCCUCUGAGAUGGAUUCAGCUGAGAGAGACUGACUGGCCUAAAGACCCCCAGCCAACUUUCAUGGUUAAGAUGGCACUAGAACUCACAGU
Non-coding RNA from Pantherophis guttatus, 328 nucleotides. Lineage: Eukaryota; Metazoa; Chordata; Lepidosauria; Squamata; Colubridae. The record is from RefSeq and is a predicted model, not a curated record.